CGAAGCCGGAGUUGCUAGUAAUCGCGAAUCAGAAUGUCGCGGUGAAUACGUUCCCGGGCCUUGUACACACCGCCCGUCACACCAUGAGAGCCGGUAACACCCGAAGUCAGGAGCCUAACCGCAAGGGAGGGCGCUGCCGAAGGUGGGAUUGGUAAUUGGGGUGAAGUCGUAACAAGGUAUC
Molecule: ribosomal RNA, 181 nt
Filed under: uncultured bacterium
Lineage: Bacteria
Description: partial 16S ribosomal RNA
Rfam family: Bacterial small subunit ribosomal RNA
Source: RNAcentral